AACGCGUAUGCAACUUGCCUAUCAGAGGGGGAUAACCCGGCGAAAGUCGGACUAAUACCGCAUGAAGCAGGGAUCCCGCAUGGGAAUAUUUGCUAAAGAUUCAUCGCUGAUAGAUAGGCAUGCGUUCCAUUAGGCAGUUGGCGGGGUAACGGCCCACCAAACCGACGAUGGAUAGGGGUUCUGAGAGGAAGGUCCCCCACAUUGGUACUGAGACACGGACCAAACUCCUACGGGAGGCAGCAGUGAGGAAUAUUGGUCAAUGGCCGAGAGGCUGAACCAGCCAAGUCGCGUGAGGGAUGAAGGUUCUAUGGAUCGUAAACCUCUUUUAUAAGGGAAUAAAGUGCGGGACGUGUCCCGUUUUGUAUGUACCUUAUGAAUAAGGAUCGGCUAACUCCGUGCCAGCAGCCGCGGUAAUACGGAGGAUCCGAGCGUUAUCCGGAUUUAUUGGGUUUAAAGGGUGCGUAGGCGGCCUUUUAAGUCAGCGGUGAAAGUCUGUGGCUCAACCAUAGAAUUGCCGUUGAAACUGGGGGGCUUGAGUAUGUUUGAGGCAGGCGGAAUGCGUGGUGUAGCGGUGAAAUGCUUAGAUAUCACGCAGAACCCCGAUUGCGAAGGCAGCCUGCCAAGCCAUGACUGACGCUGAUGCACGAAAGCGUGGGGAUCAAACAGGAUUAGAUACCCUGGUAGUCCACGCAGUAAACGAUGAUCACUAGCUGUUUGCGAUAC
RNAcentral lists this ribosomal RNA (723 nucleotides) under uncultured bacterium. Its description in RNAcentral is "bacterial SSU rRNA". It matches the Rfam family "Bacterial small subunit ribosomal RNA", at positions 112 to 832 of the family's 1533-position model. The record is from RNAcentral.